Non-coding RNA from Alligator sinensis (Chinese alligator), 401 nucleotides. Lineage: Eukaryota; Metazoa; Chordata; Crocodylia; Alligatoridae. The record is from the annotation of a RefSeq genome assembly.
GCUUGCCUUAGGAAGCAGAGCUGGUUUGGAUUUUCACCAUGGCCUGGACUGCUCUCCUCUUCUUCCUGCUUACUUAUUGCCCAGGGUCCCUCUCCCAGUACACGCUGACUCAGCCUUCCUCAGAGUCUGUGUCACUAAGAAACACGGUGAAGCUCUCCUGCACCAUCAGCAGUGGAUACACACAUGGAGCUGUCUACUGGUUGCAGCAGAAAGGCGGGAACAGCCCAAGAUACCUUCUGUGGUACAAUACAGACUCUAGCAAGCACCAGGGCUCCGGGGUCCCGAGUCGCUUCUCUGGUUCCAAAGACACCUCUAAUAAAAUUGGCUACUUAACCAUCACCAGUGUCCAGGCAGAGGAUGAGGCUGAUUAUUACUGUGCUGCCUACAGUAGUAAUGUAUAG